Molecule: long non-coding RNA, 336 nt
Filed under: Citrus x clementina
Lineage: Eukaryota; Viridiplantae; Streptophyta; Magnoliopsida; Sapindales; Rutaceae
Description: Citrus clementina (C. clementina) long non-coding RNA (CCLE_LNC000738)
Source: RNAcentral
AAUAUAAAAUGUUUAAUAUAAUUUAGGUUUAACUUUAACCAAAAGCACAAAAUCCUAUAAGCUCAUAACUUACAAAUCAAAUUUUAAAUCACUUUCUCACAGUCUUGCUCAUCCUUUCCAAAUCAUUCAUGCAGUAGUAAGCACCCAACUCGUCUUCAUCUCAUCAUAACCUAGUAGCACGUUGCAUUGUCAAUGGUUGAGUAGCCUAACUCAUCGCAACGUCAACUAGCAACCACACAUGGGGGUUUGUUGCGCCAUAGUCGGUGAUCAGCAGGUAUCAUUACUCAUGGACAAUAAUCACGUUAAUAUUGUAUAAAAAUCAUAUUAUUUGAAUUU